AAGCCUCUACUUGUAGGGAUCUUUACUGUAGUUUGUUACUGGAGAAGUUUUUCUGAUCAUGUAAAGCAUCCAAAACCACGAUGAGGAGGCGCAGUGUUCUUUUCUGAUGUUGAAGCAGGUUCUCCACGUUGCUUCUGCAACUGCCAUUUGCCUUUGAUCGCUCUUCUCUUCCUUUGGGAGAGGAAGAGAGAGAAAACACCGCCUGAGUGGU
Molecule: small nucleolar RNA, 211 nt
Organism: Camelus dromedarius (Arabian camel)
Lineage: Eukaryota; Metazoa; Chordata; Mammalia; Artiodactyla; Camelidae
Gene: U3
Rfam family: Small nucleolar RNA U3
About the family: Small nucleolar RNAs (snoRNAs) are involved in the processing and modification of rRNA in the nucleolus. There are two main classes of snoRNAs: the box C/D class, and the box H/ACA class.
Source: Ensembl